AACCCACUCUCCCUUGGAGAAGAGAAGGGGCGUGUUUCCACCUCGCUGUAACCCAGCGCCAAACCCUUCCCCUCCCCGCAAGGCGCGUAACGGUUCCUGCAAUCUGGGGACAACGCUGCGGGCAUCGAGGCGGUGGCGCUUGAUUUCCUUUAAAGUACCUACCACGCCACCCGCUACCUGUAAUAAUCCAUCUGAAGAGGUCGCCGGGCAGCGCCUCGGCAGACAGACUGACCUGCGGGGAGGUGCGGUUUCCAGUGGCGCGGGACAGCCGGCUCCGAGAAGGAACUGGGACCUUUGCCUAGGGCAAGACGUCAACAGGAACCCGCAGGCCCGGCCUGGACACCUGCUGCCCUCACUGGAAGCUUUAACUCCCACUCGAGUCUCUUGGCGUCGUCAGUGCCAGGAGCGCUUGGAUUGGGAUGGGGACGGAGAAGGGUGCCUCGCUCGCCGAGCCCCGCUGCCCUUGGGGACCUGGCAAAGUCGAGGUUUCCUCACAGCGUUGAGAUUGAGACUGGGGGUCGUGGUCUCAAAUAGUCAAGACCCCCUGCUGGGAGGAGCUUCUAUCCUGCUCUGUGGAAGAAAUGGGCAUGCCAGAUGCCUGGAAGAUCAGAGGCUCACAUUCCAGCUGUAGGUGGCCCACCAGGUGUCAACAACUGUAGAGUUCCAUCAAGAGUCAUCAUUUUACAGUUACAAGUCGGAGGGGCCUUCACAGAUCCGUCAGGCUCAACACUGCCUCCUUAGUGAGCCUGUGAACCACCCAAGACGGCUGGUCAUCAGUGUCAUCCUCUUCCUUUUCCGGACAACUAUCUUUAAAAGAAAAAAAAAGAGUGUCUUUGAAUGUAUCCAUUUUAUCCCCAAAUAAUCUUGUUUAAUAAAUUCCUUAUUAGGCCAAAUCCAAUGUGCUGAAAUAUCUGCCAAGCAUGUCAUUCUACACAAAAGGGAUUUGCAAAUAGCCAGUAGUUGGCGUGAAGAAAGGACAUGUGAAAGCGCUGGGUGUGGAAUUUCCCAUCCUCGGCCGGAGGUCUACUACAGCUCGCUGUUUGCAGAUCUGGGCUGAGCUAUGCAUCACAUUGUUCAUGAAAGAAAAAGCAACUGCUCUCCCCAGUGCCCCUUCCCCGCUCCACAUGGCUGCGAUCAGCAGCCCCAAGACCCUAAUUGCCACAGCCUAUUAGAAAUAAUGAGACUUACAUGGCAGAAGCCAAGGGUAAAAGCGACAUCUCGCAACACGAAAGGUUAAUAUCAACAUAUACAGCUAGUGAGUGCAAAGGGCACCUCAGUUGGUGGCUCAUUAUGGCGGGCUGACCCAUAGGGAAAGUGUCAUUCUGCAGAGAGGCCUUUCUCAGGAUGUGGCAGCAAAAGUUACAAAAGAUAAGGACUUGCCUGUGAAACGCACUCAACUAAUGAGAGCUGAAGAUUGUUUGAAAUAUCCCGAUGACCUCACAGAUGGGGGAUGCUGAUUAAGAUGGCUACAGGAGGCUCCUUUCUUGUCUGACAGCCCAUUGAGAAGCUUUGGUGAGAUGUGACUAACAGGCCGUGAAGGUGUCUCCAUCUUCUCUGACAUGGUCCAUGCUUUGGGCAAAACAAACAUGAAAAAUAAGUCUGAACUGACACACAUGUUUGAAUUUAGUUUUCAGAGCCAUAUUUGGGGGAAGGAGCACUGGUGGGGCCGUCAGCGAUGAUUCCUUUAUGGUAAAGGGUGUUCGUGACUACUUGCGUGACUAAUCGCAUGACUGCGCUGGGGGGUGAGCCAACGGCAAAUUGAGGUCUUGAACACUUGACAAAACAACCCCUGUUCUGUGGGU
Homo sapiens (human) is the source of this 1802-nucleotide long non-coding RNA. Ensembl annotates it as CYP1B1 antisense RNA 1. Its record names the gene CYP1B1-AS1. The record is from Ensembl. NCBI's taxonomy places the organism in Eukaryota, Metazoa, Chordata, Mammalia, Primates, Hominidae.